CUGAGCGCCCGGGAGUUCUUGCCCCGUGGCAGGCUGGUAGCACAUUGCUCUCCUGCCGAUGCUGCUAUUCUCUGUCCCGUGCUAUGCCGUGUUAAGCCCCACUGUGAGGCGAGAGAGAGGUCUGGAGGAUGUGAUGACUUUAUAGGGGGAGAGGACAGAGCAGCAGAGGGACACAGCAGACAGAAACUGUUACAUGGCAGGGACGAAGAUAGUAUGGCCAAUACCAGGUGAAACGUCCAUGCUGCAUCUGCAUGACAACCAUGUGAUCCCAAUCAGUUUCAUGGGAAUGUGCAUUUUGAUCUUCUUGAAUGAUGACCUGAGCCCUAGGACCAUGCCUCAGGACUACCUGGCUUGAUGACUCCUUGCUGUCCCCAGUUCACCUGGCCGUGCUGCUGCUCCAGUUCCAACUGUUCUGCCUGCAGCUAUGGAACCCUGACCUGUUCACCGGACGUGCUACCUGUCCCAGACCUGUUGUCCCAGAACUGCUGGAACCCUGACCUAUUCACCGGACGUGCUACCUGUCCCAGACCUGCUGUUUUCAACUCUCUAGAGACAGCAGGAGCGGUAGAGAUACUCUCA
Molecule: long non-coding RNA, 579 nt
Filed under: Salmo salar (Atlantic salmon)
Lineage: Eukaryota; Metazoa; Chordata; Actinopteri; Salmoniformes; Salmonidae
Description: lncRNA (ENSSSAG00000107646.1, ENSSSAG00020081546.1)
Source: RNAcentral